This 1325-nucleotide ribosomal RNA is filed under the name metagenome. RNAcentral describes it as "bacterial LSU rRNA". It matches the Rfam family "Bacterial large subunit ribosomal RNA", at positions 1561 to 2925 of the family's 2925-position model. The record is from RNAcentral.
AGUGGAUGGGGAGCAACCUAGUUGUGCGUGUGUAAAGGUAGUGCCAAGAAAAGCGGUGAUCAUGAUGAAAAUCAAUUCCCGGUACCCGAAACCGACACAGGUGGGCAAGUAGAGAAUACUAAGGGGCGCGAGGUAACUCUCUCCAAGGAACUCGGCAAAAUGACCCCGUAACUUAGGGAGAAGGGGUGCCACCGAGAGGUGGUCGCAGUGAAGAGGCCCAGGCGACUGUUUAGCAAAAACAUAGGUCUCUGCAAACUCGAAAGAGGAGGUAUAGGGGCUGACGCCUGCCCAGUGCCGGAAGGUUAAAGAAGUUGGUCAGUCUUAGGAUAAAGCUAGCGACUGAAGCCCCGGUGAACGGCGGCCGUAACUAUAACGGUCCUAAGGUAGCGAAAUUCCUUGUCGGGUAAGUUCCGACCCGCACGAAAGGCGUAACGAUCUGGGCGCUGUCUCGGAGAGAGGCUCGGCGAAAUAGGAUUGUCUGUGAAGAUACGGACUACCUGCAUUUGGACAGAAAGACCCUAUGAAGCUUUACUAUAGCUUGGAAUUGUGUUCGGGCUUCCUGUGCGCAGGAUAGGUGGGAGGCGUAGAAGGUAUUCUUGUGGGGAUACUGGAGCCAACUGUGAGAUACCACUCUCAGGAGGCUAGAAUUCUAACUUAAUUAAGGACAGUUUCAGGUGGGUAGUUUGACUGGGGCGGUCGCCUCCAAAAAGGUAACGGAGGCGUACAAAGGUUCCCUCAGACUGGUCGGAAAUCAGUCGCAGAGUGCAAAGGCAGAAGGGAGCUUGACUGCGAGAAGUACAGUUCGAGCAGGGUGGAAACACGGUCUUAGUGAUCCGACGGUGCUGUGUGGAAGGGCCGUCGCUCAACGGAUAAAAGUUACUCUAGGAUAACAGGCUGAUCUCCCCCAAGAGUUCACAUCGACGGGGAGGUUUGGCACCUCGAUGUCGGCUCAUCGCAACCUGGGGCGGAAGUACGUCCCAAGGGUUGGGCUGUUCGCCCAUUAAAGCGGUACGUGAGCUGGGUUCAGAACGUCGUGAGACAGUUCGGUCCAUAUCCGAUGUAGGCGUGAGAAUAUUGAGAGGAGCCUUCCUUAGUACGAGAGGACCGGGAAGGACGCACCGCUGGUGUACCUGUUAUGAUGCCAAUUGUAAACGCAGGGUAGCCAAGUGCGGAGAGGAUAACCGCUGAAAGCAUCUAAGUGGGAAGCCCACCUCAAGAUGAGUAUUCUGGUGUAAGGUCACGGGAAGACGACCCGUAAAUAGGCACGAGGUGGAAGUGCAGAGAUGUAUGAAGCCGAAGUGUACUAAUAGACCGUCGGCUUGACC